Molecule: ribosomal RNA, 500 nt
Filed under: uncultured bacterium
Lineage: Bacteria
Description: partial 16S ribosomal RNA
Rfam family: Bacterial small subunit ribosomal RNA
Source: RNAcentral
AUUGAACGCUGGCGGCAUGCCUUACACAUGCAAGUCGAACGGCAGCACGGGAGCAAUCCUGGUGGCGAGUGGCGAACGGGUGAGUAAUAUAUCGGAACGUGCCCAGUCGUGGGGGAUGACGCAGCGAAAGCUGUGCUAAUACCGCAUACGAUCUACGGAUGAAAGCGGGGGAUCGCAAGACCUCGCGCGAUUGGAGGGGCCGACAUCAGAUUAGCUAGUUGGUGAGGUAAAGGCUCACCAAGGCGACGAUCUGUAGCUGGCCUGAGAGGACGACCAGCCACACUGGAACUGAGACACGGUCCAGACUCCUACGGGAGGCAGCAGUGGGGAAUUUUGGACAAUGGGCGCAAGCCUGAUCCAGCAAUGCCGCGUGCAGGAUGAAGGCCUUCGGGUUGUAAACUGCUUUUGUACGGAGCGAAACGGUCUUUCCUAAUACGAGAGGCUAAUGACGGUACCGUAAGAAUAAGCACCGGCUAACUACGUGCCAGCCGCCGCAGUAA